Long non-coding RNA from Triticum dicoccoides, 965 nucleotides. RefSeq lists it as uncharacterized. The transcript has 3 exons. The record is from RefSeq and is a predicted model, not a curated record. NCBI's taxonomy places the organism in Eukaryota, Viridiplantae, Streptophyta, Magnoliopsida, Poales, Poaceae.
CAUGCCUGUGGUUCGUGAAUCUAAGGCGUGUGCGCCCCGCUCAGCCUCGUGCAUGUGACCGCCAUUGUUGAUGGGUCCAGCGCCAUGCGUGAGCAAGGUUAUAUUGCAGGGCGAGGACGGUGUCCGGGAGGACGGUGGGAAGUUCAUGGCUUGCGUUGGGGGAGAUCGUCGUGUUGUUCUGUAUGUGCCAGGCUAUGGCAUGGAGUGAAGUGGAACAAUUCGUCACAAUGUGUUUCAACUUUGAAGUGGCUAGGAUACCCGGAAGACCCCACAUGGACGGUGGAUGAGCUCCGCCACCUCAAUGCCGUCAGAGCCCCUUCUUCCACCAACCGCACAGCCACACCGUCGGUCUCCUUUGCCCUGUGGUUGAUUUGGUCAGUACGAGGUUGCACAGGAAGGCAUUUGCCACAGUGUCUCUCGCGGAGAUCUCAGGUUCAAGCCCAUCCGAACUGCAAAAUUUUCUGAAGGUCGAUGGAAAUGAUUUUACUCGAGACGACGCUUUUCCUCCCGUCUGAUUUACCAUCAGUAACGGAUGUCGUCCCUACUACACAACAAACUGGGCAAGGCAUGUUUGGUAAUUGCCGUGCUUUAUUUUGAUGCUCAUGUUAUGAUUACUUGAGGACACAAAUGCAUACCGCAGAGCAGUCUCAUGUGUUCGACCUCCGAGUACUAUGGAUUAUCAGGUUCUUUUAGUUUGUUUCCACAUCAGUUGUGUGCAAGGAGUCUUCUUUUUUCUCUUGUACAUGAAUCUAUUUGCUUUUCUCCAAUGGUACAAUUUCUCAAGUUCAACAAGAGUGUGGUUUGUGCCUUUUAUCCAUUCUAUCAAAAAAUGGAUCGGGGUCUACUAUCGAAAGCGAUAACAGAACAAAACAAGAAAAAUCAACGAGGUUAAUUCCUUUUUCUGCUAAGUUCUACCAUUGAACUCAAAUUCGUAUUUAAUGGAAAGAAGGUCAAACUUUUGUCCG